RNAcentral lists this ribosomal RNA (497 nucleotides) under uncultured bacterium. Its description in RNAcentral is "partial 16S ribosomal RNA". It matches the Rfam family "Bacterial small subunit ribosomal RNA", at positions 28 to 507 of the family's 1533-position model. The record is from RNAcentral.
GAUGAACGCUGGCGGCGUGCCUAAUACAUGCAAGUCGAGCGAACAGACGAGGAGCUUGCUCCUCUGACGUUAGCGGCGGACGGGUGAGUAACACGUGGAUAACCUACCUAUAAGACUGGGAUAACUUCGGGAAACCGGAGCUAAUACCGGAUAAUAUAUUGAACCGCAUGGUUCAAUAGUGAAAGACGGUUUUGCUGUCACUUAUAGAUGGAUCCGCGCCGCAUUAGCUAGUUGGUAAGGUAACGGCUUACCAAGGCAACGAUGCGUAGCCGACCUGAGAGGGUGCUCGGCCACACUGGACCUGAGACACGGUCCAGACUCCUACGGGAGGCAGCAGUAGGGAAUCUUCCGCAAUGGGCGAAAGCCUGACGGAGCAACGCCGCGUCAUUGAUGAAGAUCUUCGGAUCGUAAAACUCUGUUAUUAGGGAAGAACAAAUGUGUAAGUAACUAUGCACGUCUUGACGGUACCUAAUCAGAAAGCCACGGCUAACUACGUG